Molecule: ribosomal RNA, 254 nt
Filed under: uncultured bacterium
Lineage: Bacteria
Description: partial 16S ribosomal RNA
Rfam family: Bacterial small subunit ribosomal RNA
Source: RNAcentral
CACGUAGGGUGCGAGCGUUGUCCGGAAUUAUUGGGCGUAAAGAGCUCGUAGGCGGUGUGUCGCGUCGGCCGUGAAAACCUGGGGCUCAACUCUGGGCGUGCGGUCGAUACGGGCAUCACUUGAGUUCGGCAGGGGAGACUGGAAUUCCUGGUGUAGCGGUGAAAUGCGCAGAUAUCAGGAGGAACACCGGUGGCGAAGGCGGGUCUCUGGGCCGAUACUGACGCUGAGGAGCGAAAGCAUGGGUAGCGAACAGG